UAGGGAAUCUUCCGCAAUGGACGAAAGUCUGACGGAGCAACGCCGCGUGAGUGAAGAAGGAUUUCGGUUCGUAAAACUCUGUUGUUAGGGAAGAAAAAAUGUAUAGUAACUAUAUACAAAAGAGACGGUACCUAACCAGAAAGCCACGGCUAACUACGUGCCAGCAGCCGCGGUAAUACGUAGGUGGCAAGCGUUGUCCGGAAUUAUUGGGCGUAAAGCGCGCGCAGGUGGUUUAGAAAGUCUGAUGUGAAAGCCCACGGCUCAACCGUGGAGGGUCAUUGGAAACUAAUAAACUUGAGUGCAGGAGAGAAAAGUGGAAUUCCUAGUGUAGCGGUGAAAUGCGUAGAGAUUAGGAGGAAUACCGGUGGCGAAGGCGACUUUCUGGCCAUAUACUGACGCUGAGGUACGAAAGCGUGGGUAGCAAACAGG
RNAcentral lists this ribosomal RNA (429 nucleotides) under Verrucomicrobiota bacterium. RNAcentral's name for it is "Verrucomicrobia bacterium partial 16S ribosomal RNA". It matches the Rfam family "Bacterial small subunit ribosomal RNA", at positions 355 to 776 of the family's 1533-position model. Lineage: Bacteria; Pseudomonadati; Verrucomicrobiota. The record is from RNAcentral.